AUGUUCGCAGCGAAAAGGAGGUCAAACAUGAUAUUUUCAAUAAGCCUCCUGUCUCCUAAUUCUGCACGACCUUCAUCUCUGUCGUGCCCUUGCGGCAAAGCUCAUCGGGCUCAAUGCACUUCUUCGGACAUUGUGGUGUUGAUGACCUUGAGGAGAUGGCGUAUGACCCCUUCUUCCUUGGUUACAUUCACUUGGCCAAGGACUCGGCCGUUGGCCUUUCCACAAUUUGAUGAAGGGUGUCGUCCUCCAAAUGGAUCUCAUGCAUCAGGAUUUGGGAUUGGAACCGGUGUUCACAUCAGGUGA
This 303-nucleotide ribosomal RNA is filed under the name Triticum aestivum (bread wheat). Its description in RNAcentral is "partial small subunit ribosomal RNA". Lineage: Eukaryota; Viridiplantae; Streptophyta; Magnoliopsida; Poales; Poaceae. The record is from RNAcentral.